Molecule: non-coding RNA, 543 nt
Organism: Pogona vitticeps (central bearded dragon)
Lineage: Eukaryota; Metazoa; Chordata; Lepidosauria; Squamata; Agamidae
Source: RefSeq, a predicted model, not a curated record
UUAUCAAGACUUUAAACCAUUUUCCCCCUCUUUUUGGCAAGAUCCUACCUCGCCACAGUCAAGUGCAAAGUCCUGCACCUUGGAAAAAGAAAGCAAUUGCACAGGUACAAGAUGGGGGAUACAUCGCUCAGCAAAAGUACGAGUGAGAGGAAUGUUAGAAUUGUUGUAGAUCGCAAGCUAAAUGUGAGCCAACAGUGGCUUUUUAUUAAUCCAGGUUCUCCAAGUCUUCCUUCCCUUUCUCCUUUCAAGGGAUCACCAUUUUCAAUACAUUUGUGGACUUGCAAUGCCUAUAAAUUAAGUACUGUACAGUGGAGGAAAUUUGCAGGUAAACCAUCAAAUUCUAAUCAAAACCUCAAUUCUAAUCAAAGUCUCUCCUUGUAUUUUUAAGCUGGCUGGAUAGCUCUGUGGUUUAAAUAUCCAGUUGAAGAACCAGAGGAUGCCUGCCGUAUCUCCCACAGGUAACAAAUACGAUGGCCAGAAUUAUACAGAGCCGCUUCUUCUGGCCCUGAAAAGAGUCAAGUGUGAAGCCGGGAAGAAAAGCUU